UUUUAUUUGAGAGUUUGAUCCUGGCUCAGGAUGAACGCUGGCGGCGUGCCUAACACAUGCAAGUUGAGCGAUUUACUUCGGUAAAGAGCGGCGGACGGGUGAGUAACGCGUGGGUAACCUACCCUGUACACACGGAUAACAUACCGAAAGGUAUGCUAAUACGGGAUAAUAUAUUUGAGAGGCAUCUCUUGAAUAUCAAAGGUGAGCCAGUACAGGAUGGACCCGCGUCUGAUUAGCUAGUUGGUAAGGUAACGGCUUACCAAGGCGACGAUCAGUAGCCGACCUGAGAGGGUGAUCGGCCACAUUGGAACUGAGACACGGUCCAAACUCCUACGGGAGGCAGCAGUGGGGAAUAUUGCACAAGGGGCGAAAGCCUGAUGCAGCAACGCCGCGUGAGUGAUG
Molecule: ribosomal RNA, 402 nt
Filed under: Clostridioides difficile
Lineage: Bacteria; Bacillati; Bacillota; Clostridia; Peptostreptococcales; Peptostreptococcaceae
Description: bacterial SSU rRNA
Rfam family: Bacterial small subunit ribosomal RNA
Source: RNAcentral